GGUGGCAUGGCCAAACGGUUAAGGCGAAUGUCUGCAAAACCUUGACUCUCGGUUCAAAUCCGAGUGCCACCUCCA
RNAcentral lists this transfer RNA (75 nucleotides) under Virgibacillus salarius. RNAcentral's name for it is "tRNA-Cys". It matches the Rfam family "tRNA". Rfam says of the family: Transfer RNA (tRNA) molecules are approximately 80 nucleotides in length. Their secondary structure includes four short double-helical elements and three loops (D, anti-codon, and T loops). The record is from RNAcentral. Lineage: Bacteria; Bacillati; Bacillota; Bacilli; Caryophanales; Bacillaceae. RNAcentral also lists the same sequence under 3 other names.